UACGUAGGGUCCGAGCGUUGUCCGGAAUUACUGGGCGUAAAGAGCUCGUAGGUGAUUUGUCGCGUUGUUCGUGAAAACUCACAGCUCAACUGUGGGCGUGCGGGCGAUACGGGCAGACUUGAGUACUGCAGGGGAGACUGGAAUUCCUGGUGUAGCGGUGGAAUGCGCAGAUAUCAGGAGGAACACCUAUAGCGAAGGCAGCUCGCUGGGACGACACUGACGCUGAGACGCGAAAGCGUGGGGAGCGAACAGG
Molecule: ribosomal RNA, 253 nt
Filed under: uncultured bacterium
Lineage: Bacteria
Description: partial 16S ribosomal RNA
Rfam family: Bacterial small subunit ribosomal RNA
Source: RNAcentral